RNAcentral lists this ribosomal RNA (446 nucleotides) under uncultured bacterium. RNAcentral describes it as "partial 16S ribosomal RNA". It matches the Rfam family "Bacterial small subunit ribosomal RNA", at positions 338 to 795 of the family's 1533-position model. The record is from RNAcentral.
CCUACGGGUGGCAGCAGUCGAGAAUCAUUCACAAUGGGGGAAACCCUGAUGGUGCGACGCCGCGUGGGGGAAUGAAGGUCUUCGGAUUGUAAACCCCUGUCAUGUGGGAGCAAAUUAAAAAGAUCGUACCACACUAGGAAGAGACGGCUAACUCUGUGCCAGCAGCCGCGGUAAUACAGAGGUCUCAAGCGUUGUUCGGAAUCACUGGGCGUAAAGCGUGCGUAGGCUGUUUCGUAAGUCGUGUGUGAAAGGCGCGGGCUCAACCCGCGGACGGCACAUGAUACUGCGAGACUAGAGUAAUGGAGGGGGAACCGGAAUUCUCGGUGUAGCAGUGAAAUGCGUAGAUAUCGAGAGGAACACUCGUGGCGAAGGCGGGUUCCUGGACAUUAACUGACGCUGAGGCACGAAGGCCAGGGGAGCGAAAGGGAUUAGAUACCCUAGUAGUC